RNAcentral lists this ribosomal RNA (324 nucleotides) under uncultured eukaryote. RNAcentral describes it as "partial 18S ribosomal RNA". It matches the Rfam family "Eukaryotic small subunit ribosomal RNA", at positions 1470 to 1796 of the family's 1831-position model. The record is from RNAcentral.
CCCUUAGAUGUUCUGGGCCGCACGCGCGCUACACUGAUGCAUUCAACGAGUUUCUUCCUGGUCCGAGAGGAAUGGGUAACCUUUUGAAAGUGCAUCGUGAUAGGGAUAGACUAUUGCAAUUAUUGGUCUUCAACGAGGAAUUCCUAGUAAGUGUGAAUCAUCAGUUCGCGCUGAUUACGUCCCUGCCCUUUGUACACACCGCCCGUCGCUGCUACCGAUUGAGUGGUCCGGUGAAUUAUUCGGACCGGUGGACUGUGGGGUAACUCGCGGUCUGCUGGGAAGUCUUGUGAACCUUAUCACUUAGAGGAAGCAGAAGUCGUAACA